This is a small nucleolar RNA of Hucho hucho (huchen), 131 nucleotides long. Lineage: Eukaryota; Metazoa; Chordata; Actinopteri; Salmoniformes; Salmonidae. The record is from Ensembl.
CACGAGGCUAGAGUCACGCCGUUACAAACUCAUUGUCCUGGUGUGCUAGAGUGCUCGUAGAGUAAAUAUCUUUGCCUAUUCAUUGGCUGUAGUCUCUUGUGGCCCAGUCAAUCACCAGCUCAGAUACAGAA